Non-coding RNA from Pelobates cultripes (western spadefoot toad), 239 nucleotides. The record is from the annotation of a GenBank genome assembly. NCBI's taxonomy places the organism in Eukaryota, Metazoa, Chordata, Amphibia, Anura, Pelobatidae.
AUAUCUUCUUGUCUUCUUAGAAACGGCAUGCUCCUGAUGUUCGCAAAAGCUGCUGCUUGAUGUAAAAUAAAAUUACAAACAUGUUCCUGAUCCCUUCCACAUCCAAGGCGACAGCCCCCAAAGUCCCCCUGUGGCAUUCAGACAGGCUGAAAUCGCUGCACCCAACCGAAGGUGGAGGCUGCCAACAUUGUCCUAAAUUUGCAGUUGCAAUGCCUUGGAUGGACAGAGAUCAUUUUAGC